UACGGAGGGUCCAAGCGUUAUCCGGAUUUAUUGGGCUUAAAGGGUGCGUAGGUGGCCUGUUAAGUCAGGGGUGAAAGACGGUAGCUUAACUAUCGCAGUGCCCUUGAUACUGAUGGGCUUGAAUGAACUAGAGGUAGGCGGAAUGUGACAAGUAGCGGUGAAAUGCAUAGAUAUGUCACAGAACACCAAUUGCGAAGGCAGCUUACUGUGGUUUUAUUGACACUGAGGCACGAAAGCGUGGGGAGCAAACAGG
Molecule: ribosomal RNA, 253 nt
Filed under: uncultured bacterium
Lineage: Bacteria
Description: partial 16S ribosomal RNA
Rfam family: Bacterial small subunit ribosomal RNA
Source: RNAcentral